GUUGCCAUUGGUCCUGAGGGCAAGUUGAGGGAUGGCAGCGAGGGGGGCGGAGUCCACGAGGGAAGGCAAUUGGCUAGGCUAAAGCCCACCAAGAGGAGCUGGCCGGCAGGCGGGCUAGCCUGAAGCCGGGAGUCCGCAACCAGUAGCCCGGAGGCGGCUGCGCGAGCUCGGCGGGGCGAGGGGCGCACGGGGCGUUGGCACUGGGACGCGCGCUUGCGUCGCCGACUUGGAUGCAGCGGGGACGCUUCUGCUCCCCGUGCGCUCGACGCGAGCCAUUCAACAGCUGGCCUCGCGGGCUACAAUCGUAGGGAGCGACUGGGAGCUUUGCCGGUCGAGACUGCGGCGACUGGAAAGACGCGGCGGCAGUAGCGGCAACCGGGGUACGCCAGCAGAGACCCAGGUGGAGACGCAGCAGCACCCCAGGAUCCCGGUUUCCUUUGGAUACCAUGACGGUCACGGUGGUGUAUGAUAACUCAGAGGCCACAGAACUGUGUGCAGCUCAGCACCUCUACCUCAAGCCCAUAGCAAAGCUGAUGAUCAAUGUGUUGCUCCCUGAGAGCCCAGAACCCUCGAGACCCGUGUCUAACUGGGAAGUUCUGGACCAGCUGAAGAGCCUGAUUUGUCCUGACCAGUUCACCACUGUGCGGCUCGCCAAGAGCACCAGGGGCUUCAUCCGAUUUGAGGGGGAGGCGGAAACGCGGAGCUUGGUUCAAAUCCUGAAGGCCAAGUUGCACGGGAAGAUCAUCAAGCUAAACGGCUUGGAAACAGACUUAAAAGUCAUGGUGACAGAUGCCCAGGGAGAGUGGGAGCACUUCCCCAAGGAAAAUGGGGCCAUCCCGAUGGGUGAUGGGUCUGAAGAGCAGGACCAUGAUAAGAGUCCAAAUUCCAUAUACUUCGAAGGGCUGCCCUGCAAGUGGUUUGCUCCCAAAGGUUCCAGUGGGGAGAAGCCGUGUGAAGAGAUCCUUCGGGUGGUCUUUGAAAGCUUUGGGAAGAUCAAGAAUGUAGAUAUCCCGAUGCUCGACCCCUACCGAGAGGUUAUAACCAGUGGGAGCUUUGGCGGGUUCAACUUUGGCUUGCAGACGUUCGAGGCAUUUAUACAGUACCAAGAGUCAACUGACUUCUUAAAGGCCAUGGAGUCCCUCCGCGGGAUGAAGCUGAUGCUUAAAGGAGAUGAUGGGAAAGCUCUGGCAUGUAACAUCAAGGUUAUGUUUGAUACAACCAAACACUUCAGCGAAGGAGCUAUAAAGAAGAGAAAUCAAGAAAGGCUGAAAUUACAAGAAUUGGAGGAAGAGAGGAAAAAAGCAAAGAAAAGAGAAGAGGAAGAGGCUGAAAGGUGAGGAGACCAAGUUCAACGAAGAGCAUUGUUGUUGUUGCUUUUGUUGUUUUUUGUCUGUUUUUAAACUUUCG
This 1407-nucleotide long non-coding RNA is filed under the name Capra hircus (goat). RNAcentral's name for it is "lncRNA (ENSCHIG00000004002.1)". The record is from RNAcentral. Lineage: Eukaryota; Metazoa; Chordata; Mammalia; Artiodactyla; Bovidae.